AUACGGAGGGGGCUAGCGUUGUUCGGAAUUACUGGGCGUAAAGCGCGUGUAGGCGGAUCGUUAAGUCAGGGGUGAAAGCCCGGAGCUCAACUCCGGAAUUGCCCUUGAUACUGGCGGUCUAGAGGCCGGGAGAGGUGAGCGGAAUUCCCAGUGUAGAGGUGAAAUUCGUAGAUAUUGGGAGGAACACCAGUGGCGAAGGCGGCUCACUGGCCCGGUUCUGACGCUGAGACGCGAAAGCGUGGGGAGCAAACAGGAUUAGAAACCCCAGUAGUCC
This 274-nucleotide ribosomal RNA is filed under the name uncultured bacterium. RNAcentral's name for it is "partial 16S ribosomal RNA". It matches the Rfam family "Bacterial small subunit ribosomal RNA", at positions 523 to 796 of the family's 1533-position model. The record is from RNAcentral.